This 497-nucleotide ribosomal RNA is filed under the name uncultured bacterium. RNAcentral describes it as "partial 16S ribosomal RNA". It matches the Rfam family "Bacterial small subunit ribosomal RNA", at positions 28 to 507 of the family's 1533-position model. The record is from RNAcentral.
GAUGAACGCUGGCGGCGUGCCUAAUACAUGCAAGUCGAGCGAACAGACGAGGAGCUUGCUCCUCUGACGUUAGCGGCGGACGGGUGAGUAACACGUGGAUAACCUACCUAUAAGACUGGGAUAACUUCGGGAAACCGGCGCUAAUACCGGAUAAUAUAUUGAACCGCAUGGUUCAAUAGUGAAAGACGGUUUUGCUGUCACUUAUAGAUGGAUCCGCGCCGCAUUAGCUAGUUGGUAAGGUAACGGCUUACCAAGGCAACGAUGCGUAGCCGACCUGAGAGGGUGAUCGGCCACACUGGAACUGAAACACGGUCCAGACUCCUACGGGAGGCAGCAGUAGGGAAUCUUCCGCAAUGGGCGAAAGCCUGACGGAGCAACGCCGCGUGAGUGAUGAAGGUCUUCGGAUCGUAAAACUCUGUUAUUAGGGAAGAACAAAUGUGUAAGUAACUAUGCACGUCUUGACGGUACCUAAUCAGAAAGCCACGGCUAACUACGUG